UGGGGAAUAUUGGACAAUGGGCGAAAGCCUGAUCCAGCCAUGCCGCGUGUGUGAAGAAGGUCUUCGGAUUGUAAAGCACUUUAAGUUGGGAGGAAGGGCAGUAAGCGAAUACCUUGCUGUUUUGACGUUACUGACAGAAUAAGCACCGGCUAACUCUGUGCCAGCAGCCGCGGUAAUACAGAGGGUGCAAGCGUUAAUCGGAAUUAGUGGGCGUAAAGCGCGCGUAGGUGGUUCGUUAAGUUGAAUGUGAAAGCCCCGGGCUCAACCUGGGAACUGCAUCCGAAACUGGCGAGCUAGAGUAGGGCAGAGGGUGGGAGAAUUUCCUGUGUAGCGGUGAAAUGCGUAGAUAUAGGAAGGAACACCAGUGGCGAAGGCGACCACCUGGGCUCAUACUGACACUGAGGUGCGAAAGCGUGGGGAGCAAACAGG
Molecule: ribosomal RNA, 429 nt
Filed under: Pseudomonadota bacterium
Lineage: Bacteria; Pseudomonadati; Pseudomonadota
Description: Proteobacteria bacterium partial 16S ribosomal RNA
Rfam family: Bacterial small subunit ribosomal RNA
Source: RNAcentral